This 460-nucleotide ribosomal RNA is filed under the name uncultured bacterium. RNAcentral describes it as "partial 16S ribosomal RNA". It matches the Rfam family "Bacterial small subunit ribosomal RNA", at positions 338 to 795 of the family's 1533-position model. The record is from RNAcentral.
CCUACGGGAGGCAGCAGUGAGGAAUAUUGGUCAAUGGGCGCGAGCCUGAACCAGCCCAGUCGCGUGAGGGAAGACGGUCCUAUGGAUUGUCAACCUCUUUUGUCGGGGAGCAAAAGACGCCACGCGUGGCGUUCCGAGAGUACCCGAAGAAAAAGCAUCGGCUAACUCCGUGCCAGCAGCCGCGGUAAUACGGAGGAUGCGAGCGUUAUCCGGAUUUACUGGGCGUAAAGGGAGCGUAGGCGGCCUGCCAAGUCUGAUGUGAAAUACCGGGGCUCAACCCCGGGGCUGCAUUGGAAACUGGCAGGCUGGAGUGCCGGAGAGGCAGGCGGAAUUCCUAGUGUAGCGGUGAAAUGCGUAGAUAUUAGGAGGAACACCAGUGGCGAAGGCGGCUUACUGGACUGUAACUGACGUUGAGGCUCGAAAGCGUGGGGAGCAAACAGGAUUAGAUACCCGAGUAGUC